Oncorhynchus tshawytscha (Chinook salmon) is the source of this 2341-nucleotide long non-coding RNA. RefSeq lists it as uncharacterized. The record is from RefSeq and is a predicted model, not a curated record. The transcript is spliced from 3 exons. Lineage: Eukaryota; Metazoa; Chordata; Actinopteri; Salmoniformes; Salmonidae.
UCAGCUUCUUGAUAUGCCACACCUGUCAGGUGGAUGGAUUAUCUUGGUUUAGGAAAAAUGCUCACUAACAGGGAUAUGAACACAUUUGUGCAUACAAUUUGAGAUAAAUACGUUUUUUGUGUGUAUGGAACAUUUCUGGGAUUUUUUAUAUCACUUUGCGUUUAUAUUUUUGUUCAGUGUCAAAUCUGCUUACUCGUGGUAGCUAGUCAAUUAAAUACUUUUCCAUUUUUCAUUUUUAACUAGUUAGUAAAAAUGUAUUUCUACAUAUUCAUAUUCUAUUCUUCACCUUGAAAUUGGGAAGUAUGAUCAGUGGAGGCUAGGUUUUGUAGUAUGAUCAGUGGAGGCUAGGUUUUGUAGUAUGAUCAGUGGAGGCUAAGUUUUGUAGUAUGAUCAGUGGAGGCUAGGUUUUGUAGUAUGAUCAGUGGAGGCUAGGUUUUGUAGUAUGAUCAGUGGAGGCUAGGUUUUGUAGUAUGAUCAGUGGAGGCUAGGUUUUGUAGUAUGAUCAGUGGAGGCUAGGUUUUGUAGUAGAUCAGUGGAGGCUAGGUUUUGUAGUAUGAUCUGUGGAGGCUAGGUUUUGUAGUAUGAUCUGUGGAGGCUAGGUUUUGUAGUAUGAUCUGUGGAGGCUAGGUUUUGUAGUAUGAUCUGUGGAGGCUAGGUUUUGUAGUAUGAUCUGUGGAGGCUAGGUUUUGUAGUAUGAUCUGUGGAGGCUAGGUUUUGUAGUAUGAUCUGUGGAGGCUAGGUUUUGUAGUAUGAUCUGUGGAGGCUAGGUUUUGUAGUAGAUCUGUGGAGGCUAGGUUUUGUAGUAGAUCAGUGGAGGCUAGGUUUUGUAGUACAUCAGUGGAGGCUAGGUUUUGUAGUAGAUCAGUGGAGGCUAGGUUUUGUAGUAGAUCAGUGGAGGCUAGGUUUUGUAGUAGAUCAGUGGAAAAAGGUUAAAUUCCAUAAAAAGCAACAAAAUGUAAGAAUUGUGCCAGGGGUUUUACUGUACAUUUCCAAUAGUCACAGUGUGCAUGUCAACAUUACAGGGUUGCUUAACUUCAGAACCUUCUCUGCACCUGAUCACAGGUCAGUUAAGGAUAUUGGUUGCUACGACUUUAGUUGCUUGUGUUUCGAACAGCAUUACUAUACAGUAUCUGUAUAAUUUUUUUUAUCAUCUUUGAACAUUAUUCAAUGUAUCAUCCUACAUUUGUUCAUUAAGGCAGGUAAAACUAAGGUUUUAACUUUGAAGAAGUUUUCGGGGACACUAGUGGUCAUAUUUGGUCUCUUAGGCUACUGUUCAUUCUGUGUAAUAUUACAUAACUGUCCAUGCAAGUCUGGAAAGGUGCUACAGUACAAAUGCAGGUGAACAUGCGAAGCAAUGGGAGGAACAAUGUAAGAACAGAAAACUGAUGGGUGCUUACUAUUUGAAAUCUGUGAACCUAGCUAAUUAUUGAAUGAUUAUCGAUUAUUGAUUCCAUUGAGUUUAUGGGCUCAGUUUUCACAACGAGAACAAGAACAAAAUAUGUUAUAUUGUCAAACAUCUUGGGCCUUAAUACCCACUAUAUAAUACCCAUUAAACAUGAUCAUUUUCAUAAGAAGCAGAGAUUAUUUGUGCAGGCAGUAUAGAUACAACAUGCUUUGUUCAGUCAAGUAACACAUUGCAUUCUAAACAUUAAAGUCACAUUGUACACAGUGACAUUACAGAUCCCAAUGACUGAUCAGUGUUGCAGAAUCUGAUGGAAAUGAACACAAACAUGACCUGACAUGACUUGCAGAUGAUAUCUCAAGCAGAACUUCUCAACAUCUCUGUUUAUAAGGCCCUACAUUUGGACUGAGAAGACACCUGAACUUUCUGAAUACUUUUUGAGGAAGGCAGAGGUCAUCUUCUCUCUGACUUUGGUAAGGAUAUUUAUGAUUUUGGUGUUUUACUCAUAACAAAGCUAUGAAUGCCAGAUAAACUUGAUUUGUACUUGUCACUCAUUAAAAUGAUGUAGAAGUGAAAUAAUAAUGCAUAUCUUUUGUAUGGACUGAUUUAUACAUAGUUAUUUAGUUUCUGAGUACACACUGUUGGUAUAACUCUGUACAUGAAAAUAACUACAGUGAGACCACCAGAGCACCACCAUUGUCCAGGUCAUCAUGGGAGUCAUGACUGUGUCUGUUCUUUUCUGUGUCCUCCUCACCAACCUGGGGACCGAGAUGACUGGGAGGUCUCCACCAGGGUAUCUGGGAUUAGCUGCACCAGUGGAGAGAUUUGCCAGAAGGCCCCCACCAUGGCCCAAUCAGAACCCAUGUCCUCCAGGGUUUUCUCGACCCAACCGUUACUGGGACCCUCUGCACACAUCAACAACAGUCACCUACGAAGCAU